This 282-nucleotide ribosomal RNA is filed under the name uncultured prokaryote. RNAcentral describes it as "partial 16S ribosomal RNA". It matches the Rfam family "Bacterial small subunit ribosomal RNA", at positions 524 to 803 of the family's 1533-position model. The record is from RNAcentral.
UACGGAGGAUCCGAGCGUUAUCCGGAUUUAUUGGGUUUAAAGGGUGCGCAGGCGGAAUAUUAAGUCGGCGGUGAAAGUUUGCAGCUUAACUGUAAAAUUGCCGUUGAAACUGGUUUUCUUGAGUGUAUAUGAAGUAGGCGGAAUUUGUAGUGUAGCGGUGAAAUGCAUAGAUAUUACAAGGAACUCCGAUUGCGAAGGCAGCUUACUAAAAUACAACUGACGCUCAGGCACGAAGGCGUGGGUAUCAAACAGGAUUAGAUACCCGGGUAGUCCCUGAGCGGG